Molecule: long non-coding RNA, 396 nt
Organism: Ipomoea nil (Japanese morning glory)
Lineage: Eukaryota; Viridiplantae; Streptophyta; Magnoliopsida; Solanales; Convolvulaceae
Exons: 2
Source: RefSeq, a predicted model, not a curated record
CUAACUGCUGUUCUUCUUCAAAGAAAUUAGGGCAGCAACCUGCUAUUCUCUCUGCGGAUUGGGAAGAAUUCUCUCAGCUGUCCUUCAAUUUUUCAUCAUUCUGCAGACGCCAGAGAGGAAAACGUGCUGGCUGAAUCCAGAAUGAUGAUAUCCGAUUGCCACAAGCGUCUAGAAGCUGCACUGACCUUAAAGGAACCUUGGUACUAUAUCAUUUACCAUUUUCUUGUUUAACAAUUCGACUAAGAUAUAUGCUAGAUAUCUUGUGAAAUUUUAUUUUGUUUGUCAAUGGAAUCAUUGCCUGAAAACCAUUCGCCUCUGCCCAUUACCCAACAGUGCUGCGCGAUGGAUCUCCUUACAUUUAUUUAAUAGAAUAUUAGAAGCAUUUCCAUUCAUUAA